UGGGGAAUAUUGGACAAUGGGCGGAAGCCUGAUCCAGCAACGCCGCGUGAGGGAUGACGGCCUUCGGGUUGUAAACCUCUUUCAGUACCGACGAAGCGAAAGUGACGGUAGGUACAGAAGAAGGACCGGCCAACUACGUGCCAGCAGCCGCGGUAAUACGUAGGGUCCGAGCGUUGUCCGGAAUUAUUGGGCGUAAAGGGCUCGUAGGCGGUUUGUCGCGUCGGGAGUGAAAACAGCGGGCUUAACUCGUUGCUUGCUUUCGAUACGGGGCAGACUAGAGGUAUGCAGGGGAGAAUGGAAUUCCUGGUGUAGCGGUGAAAUGCGCAGAUAUCAGGAGGAACACCGGUGGCGAAGGCGGUUCUCUGGGCAUUACCUGACGCUGAGGAGCGAAAGUGUGGGGAGCGAACAGGAUUAGAUACCCCUGGUAGUCCACACCGUAAACGUUGGGCGCUAGGUGUGGGGUCCUUUCCACGGAUUCCGUGCCGUAGCUAACGCA
RNAcentral lists this ribosomal RNA (496 nucleotides) under uncultured bacterium. RNAcentral describes it as "partial 16S ribosomal RNA". It matches the Rfam family "Bacterial small subunit ribosomal RNA", at positions 355 to 859 of the family's 1533-position model. The record is from RNAcentral.